Molecule: ribosomal RNA, 253 nt
Filed under: uncultured bacterium
Lineage: Bacteria
Description: partial 16S ribosomal RNA
Rfam family: Bacterial small subunit ribosomal RNA
Source: RNAcentral
UACGAAGGGGGCUAGCGUUGUUCGGAUUUACUGGGCGUAAAGCGCGUGUAGGCGGAUUUGUAAGUCAGGGGUGAAAUCCCGGGGCUCAACCUCGGAACUGCCUUUGAUACUGCAAAUCUCGAGUCCGGAAGAGGUGAGUGGAAUUCCUAGUGUAGAGGUGAAAUUCGUAGAUAUUAGGAAGAACACCAGUGGCGAAGGCGGCUCACUGGUCCGGUACUGACGCUGAGGUGCGAAAGCGUGGGGAGCAAACAGG